CCUGGCUCAGAUUGAACGCUGGCGGCAGGCUUAACACAUGCAAGUCGAGCGGAAACGAUGGUAGCUUGCUACCAGGCGUCGAGCGGCGGACGGGUGAGUAAUGCUUAGGAAUCUGCCCAGUAGUGGGGGAUAGCCCGGGGAAACUCGGAUUAAUACCGCAUACGCCCUUUUGGGGAAAGCAGGGGAUCUUCGGACCUUGCGCUAUUGGAUGAGCCUAAGUCGGAUUAGCUUGUUGGUGAGGUAAAGGCUCACCAAGGCAACGAUCCGUAGCUGGUCUGAGAGGAUGAUCAGCCACAUCGGGACUGAGACACGGCCCGAACUCCUACGGGAGGCAGCAGUGGGGAAUAUUGGACAAUGGGGGCAACCCUGAUCCAGCCAUGCCGCGUGUGUGAAGAAGGCUUUCGGGUUGUAAAGCACUUUCAGUGAGGAGGAAGGCUUUCAGACUAAUACUCUGGAGGA
RNAcentral lists this ribosomal RNA (459 nucleotides) under Marinobacter sp. R-43199. RNAcentral describes it as "bacterial SSU rRNA". It matches the Rfam family "Bacterial small subunit ribosomal RNA", at positions 18 to 472 of the family's 1533-position model. Lineage: Bacteria; Pseudomonadati; Pseudomonadota; Gammaproteobacteria; Pseudomonadales; Marinobacteraceae. The record is from RNAcentral.